This 680-nucleotide ribosomal RNA is filed under the name Leucopodella balboa. Its description in RNAcentral is "SSU rRNA". It matches the Rfam family "Eukaryotic small subunit ribosomal RNA", at positions 385 to 997 of the family's 1831-position model. Lineage: Eukaryota; Metazoa; Arthropoda; Insecta; Diptera; Syrphidae. The record is from RNAcentral.
GGAGAGGGAGCCUGAGAAACGGCUACCACAUCUAAGGAAGGCAGCAGGCGCGUAAAUUACCCACUCCCAGUUCGGGGAGGUAGUGACGAAAAAUAACAAUACAGGACUCAUAUCCGAGGCCCUGUAAUUGGAAUGAGUACACUUUAAAUCCUUUAACAAGGACCUAUUGGAGGGCAAGUCUGGUGCCAGCAGCCGCGGUAAUUCCAGCUCCAAUAGCGUAUAUUAAAGUUGUUGCGGUUAAAACGUUCGUAGUUGAAUUUGUGCUUCAUACGGGUAGUACAACUAUAAUUGUGGAUUGUACAUUACCUUAUGUAUGCAAGCGUAUUACCGGUGGAGUUCUUAUAUAUAAUUAUACUUGUAUUUUUAUAUAUACCUCCUAUUUAAACCUGCUUCAGUGCUCUUCAUCGAGUGUUGUUGUGGGCCGGUACUAUUACUUUGAACAAAUUAGAGUGCUUAAAGCAGGCUCCAAAUGCCUGAAUAUUUUGUGCAUGGAAUAAUGAAAUAAGACCUCUGAUCUACUUUCAUUGGUUUUUAGAUCAAGAGGUAAUGAUUAAUAGAAGCAGUUUGGGGGCAUUAGUAUUACGACGCGAGAGGUGAAAUUCUUGGACCGUCGUAAGACUAACUUAAGCGAAAGCAUUUGCCAAAGAUGUUUUCAUUAAUCAAGAACGAAAGUUAGAGGU